Gossypium arboreum is the source of this 127-nucleotide non-coding RNA. Lineage: Eukaryota; Viridiplantae; Streptophyta; Magnoliopsida; Malvales; Malvaceae. The record is from Rfam.
UAUUAAAAAGUUUAUCCCUUUGUAUUGUUAAAAACUGACGUAACUAAAUAGUGAUGUUUGGCAUGUCAUAUGUAUCUUUCAUACAGAGACCAAUUUUUAAUAGUAAAAAUGGAUGAAAUCUUUAACA